GCUGAAAAAUUUGUUUUUGUAAAGAUUUUUUUUUGUCUUUAAAAAAGAAAAUCGAUGUCUGUAAAUAGAGUAACCUUUUGCUGUGUUUUUCCUUUAGCUCGUUUUUUUUUUCUUCUUCUGCAUUUUAACAUUGCUUUUUAAAUUCCAGUCGGAUGGAUCGGUGGGUGCAACAAGACACUGUGGAGAUUUUUGUGGUCAGUCGGGCGAAGAGCGUUGAGCUUCCAGCAUCUGACACGUCAGUGAUCAGAUGAGACUAUGAAGCGGUUUGGACUGUAUUUCUCUGCUGUCUGGAUAUUGUGCCGCUGCUGCUGUCUUGUCUGUGGCAGAGAUCAAGGUGUGUGCAGUUUAGGGAAGCUCCUUACCAGAAUCAAUUUAAUCACAGAACUACAGUCUGAAAUCCUGCUGCCGUGCCUUUUUGAAGCAGCUCUCACUGGAUCAAACCUGAACAUGAGUUCACUUGCUGUGUGGAAUCACAUUACUGAAACCACUGACGGCAUUGUAGAGAUCAAAGUAAAUGAUCAUGAAAUCUUCUGGAAUAACAGAGGCAAUAGAAUUAAGGCAUUCGGUGCUGCUGCUGCAUCUGGAAACUUCUCCAUCCUGAUUGAAGAUGUGCAGCUGUCUGAUCUGGGGCUCUACCGCUGUGAACUCUUCAGAGAUACCAACUGUUCUCUGGGCUAUAAAGAGAUAAACAUCAGUCUGGCUGCUGAGUUUUCACCGCUCAAUAACUGGCAGCUCAUAGUUGCUGCAGGAGGAGGAGGAGGAUUCCUCCUUCUCUGUCUGAUCACCGUGUGUGUUUACUGGACAUGGACAAAACGACAAACAGUUGAUGCAUCAGUCAACCACACAUCACACAAUUGUCAUGACAGUGAAGGACAAAAAAAUGAUGAAAUAACCUAUGCGUCAGUUGUUCCUAAGUCACACAAUUGCCAUAACAGUGAAGGACCAAAAAAUGAUGAAAUAACCUAUGCAUCAGUUGCUCUUAAAUCACACAACUGCCAUGACAGUGAAGUUCUUCUGAAUAAUAAACCUGUAAAAGGCUCUGCAUCAGAAACCAUGGUCAACCCAGAGACGGUCCUUUACUCUACCCUCAAGCAAAGAGAGGGAAGAUGA
Carassius auratus (goldfish) is the source of this 1110-nucleotide long non-coding RNA. NCBI's taxonomy places the organism in Eukaryota, Metazoa, Chordata, Actinopteri, Cypriniformes, Cyprinidae. The record is from Ensembl.